RNAcentral lists this ribosomal RNA (413 nucleotides) under uncultured bacterium. RNAcentral's name for it is "bacterial SSU rRNA". It matches the Rfam family "Bacterial small subunit ribosomal RNA", at positions 554 to 966 of the family's 1533-position model. The record is from RNAcentral.
CUGGGCGUAAGAGCGCGUAGGCGGGGAUUUAAGUCAGGAGUGAAAACUGGCGGCUCAACCACCAGCCUGCUCUUGAAACUGAAUCUCUUGAGGGUAUGAGAGGAAAGCGGAAUUCCCAGUGUAGCGGUGAAAUGCGUAGAUAUUGGGAGGAACACCAGUGGCGAAGGCGGCUUUCUGGCAUACAACUGACGCUGAGGCGCGAAAGCGUGGGGAGCAAACGGGAUUAGAUACCCCGGUAGUCCACGCCGUAAACGAUGGGUACUAGGUGUAGGAGGUAUCGACCCCUUCUGUGCCGUAGUUAACACAAUAAGUACCCCGCCUGGGGAGUACGGCCGCAAGGUUGAAACUCAAAGGAAUUGACGGGGGCCCGCACAAGCGGUGGAGUAUGUGGUUUAAUUCGACGCAACGCGAAA